UGCAUUAUAUAGGUAUUAUAGGCAUAAGUUGAAGAAGAAGUACUUUGAUUCAAAGGCAACUUAUUCACUUCGUCUCCGAAACAAGCCUAAGGAUAUGGAUGUAAAAGAUUGGAAGUAUUUGGUUAAUCUUUGGACAGAAAAUGCAUUUCAGGAGAGAAGCAACAAAAAUAAGACAAAUAGAUGCAAGCGUUCUAUGCCGCCAUACACGGGGACAAAAAGCUUUGCUCGGCUGAGAGAUCAUAUG
Molecule: long non-coding RNA, 244 nt
Organism: Manihot esculenta (cassava)
Lineage: Eukaryota; Viridiplantae; Streptophyta; Magnoliopsida; Malpighiales; Euphorbiaceae
Exons: 2
Source: RefSeq, a predicted model, not a curated record